GCCGGUGUAACUCAGUGGCCAGAGUGCCUCUCUCGUAAAGAGGAAGUCGAGAGUUCGACUCUCUCCACCGGCU
This 73-nucleotide transfer RNA is filed under the name Aeromicrobium panaciterrae. RNAcentral describes it as "tRNA-Thr". It matches the Rfam family "tRNA". From Rfam's summary of the family: Transfer RNA (tRNA) molecules are approximately 80 nucleotides in length. Their secondary structure includes four short double-helical elements and three loops (D, anti-codon, and T loops). Further hydrogen bonds mediate the characteristic L-shaped molecular structure. tRNAs have two regions of fundamental functional importance: the anti-codon, which is responsible for specific mRNA codon recognition, and the 3' end, to which the tRNAs corresponding amino acid is attached (by aminoacyl-tRNA synthetases). tRNAs cope with the degeneracy of the genetic code in two manners: having more than one tRNA (with a specific anti-codon) for a particular amino acid; and 'wobble' base-pairing, i.e. permitting non-standard base-pairing at the 3rd anti-codon position. Lineage: Bacteria; Bacillati; Actinomycetota; Actinomycetes; Propionibacteriales; Nocardioidaceae. The record is from RNAcentral.